RNAcentral lists this ribosomal RNA (501 nucleotides) under uncultured bacterium. RNAcentral describes it as "partial 16S ribosomal RNA". It matches the Rfam family "Bacterial small subunit ribosomal RNA", at positions 30 to 523 of the family's 1533-position model. The record is from RNAcentral.
AUUGAACGCUGGCGGCAGGCUUAACACAUGCAAGUCGAGCGGGGGAAGGUAGCUUGCUACCGGACCUAGCGGCGGACGGGUGAGUAAUGCUUAGGAAUCUGCCUAUUAGUGGGGGACAACAUCUCGAAAGGGCUGCUAAUACCGCAUACGCCCUACGGGAGAAAGCAGGGGAUCUUCGGACCUUGAGCUAAAAGAUGAGGCUAAGUCGGAUUAGCGAGUUGGGGGGGGAAAGGACCACCAGGGCGGCGAUCUGUAGCGGGUCUGAGAGGAUGAUCCGCCACACUGGGACUGAGACACGGCCCAGACUCCUACGGGAGGCAGCAGUGGGGAAUAUUGGACAAUGGGGGGAACCCUGAUCCAGCCAUGCCGCGUGUGUGAAGAAGGCCUUAUGGUUGUAAAGCACUUUAAGCGAGGAGGAGGCUACUUUAGUUAAUACCUAGAGAUAGUGGACGUUACUCGCAGAAUAAGCACCGGCUAACUCUGUGCCAGCCGCCGCGGUAA